This 587-nucleotide ribosomal RNA is filed under the name uncultured bacterium. Its description in RNAcentral is "bacterial SSU rRNA". It matches the Rfam family "Bacterial small subunit ribosomal RNA", at positions 337 to 916 of the family's 1533-position model. The record is from RNAcentral.
UCCUACGGGAGGCAGCAGUGGGGAAUCUUGGACAAUGGGGGCAACCCUGAUCCAGCCAUGCCGCGUGUGUGAAGAAGGCCUUCGGGUUGUAAAGCACUUUCAGCAGGGAGGAAGGCUUACCCCUAAUACGGGUGAGUACUUGACGUUACCUGCAGAAGAAGCACCGGCUAAUUUCGUGCCAGCAGCCGCGGUAAUACGAAAGGUGCAAGCGUUAAUCGGAAUUACUGGGCGUAAAGCGCGCGUAGGUGGCUUGAUAAGCCGGUUGUGAAAGCCCCGGGCUCAACCUGGGAACGGCAUCCGGAACUGUCAAGCUAGAGUGCAGGAGAGGAAGGUAGAAUUCCCGGUGUAGCGGUGAAAUGCGUAGAGAUCGGGAGGAAUACCAGUGGCGAAGGCGGCCUUCUGGACUGACACUGACACUGAGGUGCGAAAGCGUGGGUAGCAAACAGGAUUAGAUACCCUGGUAGUCCACGCCGUAAACGAUGUCGACCAGCCGUUGGGUGCCUAGCGCACUUUGUGGCGAAGUUAACGCGAUAAGUCGACCGCCUGGGGAGUACGGCCGCAAGGUUAAAACUCAAAUGAAUUGACGG